This 537-nucleotide ribosomal RNA is filed under the name Entoloma fumosobrunneum. RNAcentral's name for it is "partial small subunit ribosomal RNA". It matches the Rfam family "Bacterial small subunit ribosomal RNA", at positions 358 to 956 of the family's 1533-position model. The record is from RNAcentral. Lineage: Eukaryota; Fungi; Basidiomycota; Agaricomycetes; Agaricales; Entolomataceae.
AGAAUAUUAGUCAAUGCUCGCAAGAGUGAACUAGCUAACUGAAAUCACAUUUUAACUAUGUUGAUAAUGUGAUAACGUAAGGGAAAAAAAUGAUAUUACCUUACUACUAGUGUUGUCCAAAACUGGUGCCAGAAGACUCGGUAAAGCCAGAGACGCAAACGUUAGUCGUCCUAAUCAGGCGUAAAGGGUAUGUAGGCUGCUUUAAAAUCAAUUAAAGCUAGAAUCAAAUUGAGGAUAAACCAAAUAAUACUUAGUGUAGGGUUGAUAUCUAUAGAUACUAAGGGGAAUACUAAAGGUGAAAGCUUUUUAUCUAUUAAUGAUUGACGCUGAGAAACGAAGGUGAGAAUAGGAAAUAGGAUUAGAUACCCAGAUACCUCUCACUGUCAACGAUGAAUGGUGGUUGUUAGUUUUAAAACAAACUGGUAACGAUGUUAACACGAUAACCAUUCCGCCUUGCGAGUACGGUUGCAAAACUGAAACCAAAAAAAUUAGUCGGUCUCGAAGCAAACGAAGUGAAGCAUGUUAUUUAAUUCGAUA